GCAUCCGUAGCUCAGCUGGAUAGAGUAUUCGGCUACGAACCGAGCGGUCGGAGGUUCGAAUCCUCCCGGAUGCA
RNAcentral lists this transfer RNA (74 nucleotides) under Providencia rustigianii. Its description in RNAcentral is "tRNA-Arg". It matches the Rfam family "tRNA". From Rfam's summary of the family: Transfer RNA (tRNA) molecules are approximately 80 nucleotides in length. RNAcentral also lists the same sequence under 1 other name. The record is from RNAcentral. Lineage: Bacteria; Pseudomonadati; Pseudomonadota; Gammaproteobacteria; Enterobacterales; Morganellaceae.